Molecule: ribosomal RNA, 493 nt
Filed under: uncultured Sphingomonas sp.
Lineage: Bacteria; Pseudomonadati; Pseudomonadota; Alphaproteobacteria; Sphingomonadales; Sphingomonadaceae
Description: bacterial SSU rRNA
Rfam family: Bacterial small subunit ribosomal RNA
Source: RNAcentral
CGCGUGGGAAUCUGCCCUCAGGUUCGGAAUAACAGCGAGAAAUUGCUGCUAAUACCGGAUGAUAUCGCGAGAUCAAAGAUUUAUCGCCUGAGGAUGAGCCCGCGUAGGGUUAGCUAGUUGGUGUGGUAAAGGCGCACCAAGGCGACGAUCCUUAGCUGGUCUGAGAGGAUGAUCAGCCACACUGGGACUGAGACACGGCCCAGACUCCUACGGGAGGCAGCAGUGGGGAAUAUUGGACAAUGGGCGAAAGCCUGAUCCAGCAAUGCCGCGUGAGUGAUGAAGGCCUUAGGGUUGUAAAGCUCUUUUACCCGGGAUGAUAAUGACAGUACCGGGAGAAUAAGCUCCGGCUAACUCCGUGCCAGCAGCCGCGGUAAUACGGAGGGAGCUAGCGCUAUUCGGAAUUACCGGGCGUAAAGCGCACGUAGGCGGCUUUGUAAGUUAGAGGUGAAAGCCUGGAGCUCAACUCCAGAAUUGCCUUUAAGACUGCAUCGCU